GACAGAGGCCCCAAGCGUUAGGCGGAAUCACUGGGCUUAAAGCGUGUGUAGGCGGACGCCUAAGUGUCUUGUGAAAUCCCACGGCUCACCCGUGGAACUGCUGGGCAUACUGGGCGUCUUGGGCCAACUAGGGGCGAGCCGGAACAAGCGGUGGAGCGGUGAAAUGCGUAGAUAUCGGCUUGGAACGCCGAAGGUGAAAACAGGCUGCUGGGGUUGCGCCGACGCGUGAGACACGAAAGCCAGGGGAGCAAACGGG
RNAcentral lists this ribosomal RNA (256 nucleotides) under uncultured bacterium. RNAcentral describes it as "partial 16S ribosomal RNA". It matches the Rfam family "Bacterial small subunit ribosomal RNA", at positions 524 to 776 of the family's 1533-position model. The record is from RNAcentral.